This 74-nucleotide transfer RNA is filed under the name Tenacibaculum maritimum. Its description in RNAcentral is "tRNA-Thr". It matches the Rfam family "tRNA". Rfam says of the family: Transfer RNA (tRNA) molecules are approximately 80 nucleotides in length. Lineage: Bacteria; Pseudomonadati; Bacteroidota; Flavobacteriia; Flavobacteriales; Flavobacteriaceae. The record is from RNAcentral.
GCCGAUGUAGCUCAGCUGGCUAGAGCAGCUGAUUUGUAAUCAGCAGGUCGGGGGUUCAAGUCCCUUCAUCGGCU